RNAcentral lists this ribosomal RNA (253 nucleotides) under uncultured bacterium. RNAcentral's name for it is "partial 16S ribosomal RNA". It matches the Rfam family "Bacterial small subunit ribosomal RNA", at positions 524 to 776 of the family's 1533-position model. The record is from RNAcentral.
UACGGAGGGGGCAAGCGUUAUUCGGAAUUAUUGGGCGUAAAGGGCGCGUAGGCGGCUAGAUGUGUCAAAGGUGAAAUCCCUCGGCUCAACUGAGGAACUGCCUUUGAAACUGUCUGGCUUGAGGCCGGGAGAGGGUAGCGGAAUUCUCGGUGUAGCGGUGAAAUGCGUAGAUAUCGAGAGGAACACCGGUGGCGAAAGCGCUCUGCUGGGCCAUAACUGACACUCAGGGACGAAAGCUAGGGGAGCGAACAGG